Molecule: ribosomal RNA, 289 nt
Filed under: uncultured Sphingobium sp.
Lineage: Bacteria; Pseudomonadati; Pseudomonadota; Alphaproteobacteria; Sphingomonadales; Sphingobiaceae
Description: partial 16S ribosomal RNA
Source: RNAcentral
CUACCAGGGUUUCUAAUCCUGUUUGCUCCCCACGCUUUCGCACCUCAGCGUCAAUACCUGUCCAGUGAGCCGCCUUCGCCACUGGUGUUCUUCCGAAUAUCUACGAAUUUCACCUCUACACUCGGAAUUCCACUCACCUCUCCAGGAUUCAAGCAAUCCAGUCUCAAAGGCAGUUCCGGGGUUGAGCCCCGGGCUUUCACCUCUGACUUAAAUCGCCGCCUACGUGCGCUUUACGCCCAGUAAUUCCGAACAACGCUAGCUCCCUCCGUAUUACCGCGGCUGCUGGCAC